Non-coding RNA from Paramuricea clavata, 1065 nucleotides. The record is from the annotation of a GenBank genome assembly. NCBI's taxonomy places the organism in Eukaryota, Metazoa, Cnidaria, Anthozoa, Malacalcyonacea, Plexauridae.
CCCCCCCCGCCAUAAAUAAUGACCAGUCUCUUUGUCAUGGGGGAAAGAGGUGUAAAAGAAAAAAUGUUGAAAUAUGAAGAGGGGGAAGGUCACCAUUUCUGCUCUUUUAGGGGGGGAGCUUUCAAUCCUAUCUAAAUUUAGGAGAGGAAAAACCCCUCCUCCCUCCAUAAAUAAUGUCCGGUCACCCCAAUAUUCUUUUAAAGAGACAGCUCUGGCAAAAUCUAGGCAAAAAUUCGCCGAGGUAAUGUCGGCGAAUUUCUGUAUUUUUUAUCUAUAUAUAACAUAACUAUACGCUUUUUAGACUUGACUGAAAAAUUAAUAAAAGGAACCUUUGAAUCUCAACUGACGGCUUUUGCAAACCACGCUCAACGUCGUCCUAUUCCGACAGUUUUUCAGAACACAAUUUUCCCCUGUACUGUACAAAGUCUUUUCGAAUUCAUCUCGUGUGUUUAUUUAUGCUGUUUUGUCGUCGUUUCAUGAAGUUUUUUUUGUUUGAUAUUCAGAUUCUUAUAGGAUAAUGCACUUCUUCUUUUUCGGUUUUUUGGCGGGCGUUUCGUGAGCAGCAUAAAAUUUCCUGUGUGAAAAAUUGGAAGGAAUUCGUUUAGUUUGCAAUGCCAAUGAAUACGGUUAUAUAGAUUCAUGCUAUAUAUGCUUAUAUCAUUGUUUAUACCGUUGCUACAUACAGUAUAUAUAAUUCACAACUUUAUACAAAGUCUGUCGCGAACGUGUCUCGAAGUGUUUGUCGUGAAUGAUUUUUAUGCUUGUGUCCAUCAUAGUCGUUCAAGACAUGGUCUGGAAAUUCAGUAAACUUCAAAACGGUUUCAAUGAGCUGGGAUUUUAUGUUGAGCCGUGAAUGACUGAAUUGAAACGUUGCUAUUGGAUCAUUCGUUCAUUAUACUGAAAUACAAUGUGUUCAUUGACCGUGCACCGUGCACAAAACGCGAAGAAAAAGACAAAACAAACGCCCGUAUUCUAAAAGCUCACUCGCACUCAAUGAGUGGGGGUUCAAUCUGAGCUUCUCUCGAGUGUCAAUGCUGUUUUUGAAUAGCUGGAGGUUGGUGUCAU